AUUUGUGACAAUGCCACGUUGAAAAGCACGACAUCUCGUCGGGUCUGUCAAGUUAAGCAACGUUGGGCCUGGUUAGUACUUGGAUCGGAGACGGCCUGGGAAUCCCAGGUGUUGUAGACA
Non-coding RNA from Brugia malayi, 120 nucleotides. The record is from Rfam. Lineage: Eukaryota; Metazoa; Nematoda; Chromadorea; Rhabditida; Onchocercidae.